This 879-nucleotide ribosomal RNA is filed under the name uncultured bacterium. RNAcentral's name for it is "bacterial SSU rRNA". It matches the Rfam family "Bacterial small subunit ribosomal RNA", at positions 20 to 889 of the family's 1533-position model. The record is from RNAcentral.
UGGCUCAGGAUGAACGCUAGCUACAGGCUUAACACAUGCAAGUCGAGGGGAAACGACAUCGAAAGCUUGCUUUUGAUGGGCGUCGACCGGCGCACGGGUGAGUAACGCGUAUCCAACCUGCCCACCACUUGGGGAUAACCUUGCGAAAGUAAGACUAAUACCCAAUGAUAUCUCUAGAAGACAUCUGAAAGAGAUCAAAGAUUUAUCGGUGAUGGAUGGGGAUGCGUCUGAUUAGCUUGUUGGCGGGGUAACGGCCCACCAAGGCGACGAUCAGUAGGGGUUCUGAGAGGAAGGUCCCCCACAUUGGAACUGAGACACGGUCCAAACUCCUACGGGAGGCAGCAGUGAGGAAUAUUGGUCAAUGGGCGAGAGCCUGAACCAGCCAAGUAGCGUGCAGGAUGACGGCCCUAUGGGUUGUAAACUGCUUUUAUAAGGGAAUAAAGUGAGUCUCGUGAGACUUUUUGCAUGUACCUUAUGAAUAAGGACCGGCUAAUUCCGUGCCAGCAGCCGCGGUAAUACGGAAGGUCCGGGCGUUAUCCGGAUUUAUUGGGUUUAAAGGGAGCGUAGGCCGGAGAUUAAGCGUGUUGUGAAAUGUAGAUGCUCAACAUCUGAACUGCAGCGCGAACUGGUUUCCUUGAGUACGCACAAAGUGGGCGGAAUUCGUGGUGUAGCGGUGAAAUGCUUAGAUAUCACGAAGAACUCCGAUUGCGAAGGCAGCUCACUGGAGCGCAACUGACGCUGAAGCUCGAAAGUGCGGGUAUCGAACAGGAUUAGAUACCCUGGUAGUCCGCACGGUAAACGAUGGAUGCCCGCUGUUGGUCUGAAUAGGUCAGCGGCCAAGCGAAAGCAUUAAGCAUCCCACCUGGGGAGUACGCCGGC